UUUACAAUUUGUUAUAAUUUUUUAAUUUUUUGCAACAAAAGUCCUAAUAUUUUUCCGUACUUAAUGUCUUCAUUAUAUACAAGUAUGCAAGAAAUCAUGGCAAGAGAUCCUUAAUCGUUUUGGAAUUAAAUGAAUUCUAAAAGCAGUAGAGGUAGGUACGGAAAAAAUAUUAAUUAAUGGAGAACCUUUGUCCGGUGAACAAGUAAUGAAUUUGCUAGGUUUUUUCACUCCGUGGUCAGCGUGGAGAAGCCAAAGUUGGAGACUACAUGAGGCACAGACAGCAGUAUGUAGAUUAUGAAGGGCACAGAUUGAAACCAGCAGUGACAUGGGCCAUUUGUUCAAUAGAAUAUCUUGGUUUAUCGAAAUUGGCUGAGACAGCAAGGUGCAGGUCUCUGGAAAAUAUAUUAGGGAGCUGAUACAGGCAGUGUUGGCCGAAACGUUAAUGCAAUUAACCAUUAACCAGUACAAACUGAACCGUAAACUGUAACUGUCCGUUACGGUUUACGGUUCAAUUUGUACUGGUUAAUGGUUAAUUGCAAUUAACGUUCGGCCAACACUGGAUACAGGCAGCCAGAAUGAGUCUCUGCUGAGUCGCCGUCUGACGUCUUCGUGCCAGGUGCCAGUCGCCAGUUGCAGGGGAAGAUGCGAAUAGUUAUACAAGCGAGCAUGAUGACGUCUCUCAAAAACUGAUAGACACAAUACUCUUACUCGCCUUGUUACCAGAGGCAACCUCCAGCAGCAGUGGGACCAGCGCGGCCCCCUGCGCCCCCGCCCCGUCCCUCGCCCCUGCAGAGCGGACACCAGCGCCCUCUACAACUCUACCGGCGCCCGCCGUGUCUCCACCUUCUUCAAAAACGACAACCGGUGUUAGAUCUCCAAUUGACAUGACAAUACGAUGGACCUAGCUAGGCUAACAUUUUUAUUUUACCUUUUUAUCUCUGUAUAUUCCCAAGUCCCCAAGGGCACAGAUGGGAAUAUCAUAAUAUAGAUUACUCCCAUCCCCGUCCGCGCCCCCGCCUGAUGUGUGGCGGCCGUCACGUGAAGCCUUGACAAAUGUGAAUACAACCGUUGCCGCCAUAACAAUAAAUACUAAAAACAAUAGAUAAUGGUACGGAACCCUUCGUGCGCGAGUCCGACUCUCACUCUCACUUUCACGACUUUUCUUUCUAAGAUUAUUUUGAUUGGUUUGUCUACCAAUUAAUUUCUGUAUAAAUCAGUACCUAUAACAAAAUUCUUGCCCUUUUUAUUUCCCAAUUUAUAAUCUAAUUAUAGUCUUCAUCUUCUCAAAUCAUUUUUUAGCCUAAGAAUACAUUAUAAACCUAAGUAAUCUGUUAAACAAAAACCAUUGUCUCUAUUGUGACGGGCUCUAAGCUUCCAACUUGGGCACGUGGCAAAGCAACAAUGCCGUUUAAAAAGCAACUGAAUCGCGAUAGUACUAUAGUUCAAAUCUUUUUGACAGCUCAUUCAAGAUAACACGGUUGCGUAAUGUGGAUGGUUCGGUCGACCACCCCGAUAUAGGCGAGAAUACACAGCGCUCGUAAGAUUUCAACUUUAGUACUAUCGCGAUUCAGUUGCUUAUUAAACGGCAAUGUUGCUUUGCCACGUGCCAAAGUUGGAAGCUUGGAGCCCGUUACAAUAGAGACAAUGGCUUUUGUUUAUAGAUCCAAUCAUAUCAACUGAGCUAAUGCACUCACCUGUACUAACAAUGGCAUCGUAUUAUUACAAUACUAUUAUCCGCUUUUGUUCUCGUAGCCGCCACGCCAACUAGUUACUUACAAAAUAAGUUAGAAGUGCAUUGCAUGUAUAUUCAAUUUUCACAUCACCAAUUCGAAAAAGGGUUUUUUCUUCCCUGCUAGGAGGGAUCAAAGUGGCACUUUUCUUCCCUGCUAGGAGGGAUCAAAGUAACACUUUUCUGUUCUAGGACACUAUUUAAAAACAAUUGCACAUUAUUUUUUUAGCUUAAAUAAUAUUUUUAAACAUCAUAAUUACCUCAUAGGUGAUGUGAAAAGCAGUAUGUGUCACAUGGUAGCAAAAUUAUUUCCAUCUUGGGCGUAACACACUUGAAUCCCUCACUACGCUCAGGAUUCUACUUUAGAAUCUUCGUUACUCUCGGGAUUCUAUUAUAGAAACCUUCGCUUCGUUUAAGAUUCAAUGUACG
This is a long non-coding RNA of Cydia strobilella, 2158 nucleotides long. RefSeq lists it as uncharacterized. The record is from RefSeq and is a predicted model, not a curated record. Lineage: Eukaryota; Metazoa; Arthropoda; Insecta; Lepidoptera; Tortricidae. The transcript has 4 exons.